GAUGAACGCUGGCGGCGUGCCUAAUACAUGCAAGUCGAGCGAACAGAUGAGGAGCUUGCUCCUCUGACGUUAGCGGCGGACGGGUGAGUAACACGUGGAUAACCUACCUAUAAGACUGGGAUAACUUCGGGAAACCGGAGCUAAUUCCGGAUAAUAUAUUGAACCGCAUGGUUCAAUAGUGAAAGACGGUUUUGCUGUCACUUAUAGAUGGAUCCGCGCCGCAUUAGCUAGUUGGUAAGGUAACGGCUUACCAAGGCAACGAUGCGUAGCCGACCUGAGAGGGUGAUCGGCUACACUGGAACUGAGACACGGUCCAGACUCCUACGGGAGGCAGCAGUAGGGAAUCUUCCGCAAUGGGCGAAAGCCUGACGGAGCAACGCCGCGUGAGUGAUGAAGGUCUUCGGAUCGUAAAACUCUGUUAUUAGGGAAGAACAAAUGUGUAAGUAACUAUGCACGUCUUGACGGUACCUAAUCAGAAAGCCACGGCUAACUACGUG
Molecule: ribosomal RNA, 497 nt
Filed under: uncultured bacterium
Lineage: Bacteria
Description: partial 16S ribosomal RNA
Rfam family: Bacterial small subunit ribosomal RNA
Source: RNAcentral